RNAcentral lists this unclassified non-coding RNA (349 nucleotides) under Hevea brasiliensis (rubber tree). Lineage: Eukaryota; Viridiplantae; Streptophyta; Magnoliopsida; Malpighiales; Euphorbiaceae. The record is from RNAcentral.
AAACACAUAUAUGGAAAGUCACACAUCAUCGUCAUGAUAAUUGUAAUAAUAGAGUUGAAGGUUGCUAAAACUUUUUCAUUUGAUGUUAUUGACUUCGUUAUUGAAGAGACUAGAGAUGGUUUUUGCUCAUUUACUCUUGAUUGACUAGUAACCUUCCACAAACUUUAAAUCAAUAUUCUAUCAUCUCUUAAAACCAGAAGAACAAGUAGAGUGAGGCAGGAGCAACGUAGCAAACUCACUUGAACUCCCCGGAAUGUCUUGCAAGUUUCAGGUAAUGGAGAUGGAUGUUAUCAAACUACAUAGUUUACAAUAAAUACCUACUAUUGUACUGUGUUGCCAUGCACCGAAA